AUUAAAUCAGUCAUGACCUUCUAAAAAAAGAAAAGAAUGAAGACCUAAGUUUCAUCUUCUUCACAAAAACAAGGGAGGCGUUUUUCAUGAAAAAGCAUGGAAUAGCAUCUUCUUCAACAAAAAGAACACAAAAAAAUCCUAGACUUCAUCUCCACCCCACAAGCCACCCUAUUUCCAUCGGACAACCACCACUUCAACUCCCUCCUCUCCAAAAGAAAGCAAUCGCGUCACACCAUCUUCACCUUCUGACUGCUGCCGAACAACCACCCACCAACGUACCGCUGACCAGUCAUCUUCCUCACCAUAAAAACUAGCUGCACCCUCACAGUCGUCCACCACCAUAGCAGCACCCCACACCAGCGACCCCUAGCCUUGUACCAUCUUCUUCGGCUGAGAACCAAGAGAACAUAACCUUAGAGCCGAAGACCCCUGAACCUUUUCUGUCCGUUUUCGAGUUCGUCGCCGAUCGAGAUUGUUCGACAUCGAUUCUGAUUCGAGCCCUGCUGCUGAUCAAGGUUAGAGUCUGAGUUUCCGCUCAGGGUCAUCGAGGUCCGGACUGUUGAGCUCGUCAAUCAUAGCUUGGGCUUGGAGUUUUCUUUUCUAUUCGUUGUUUCAAAGACACAUUGCAACUAUAAAGGUCCAUUCUGAUAUCUUUAUUAUUUCUUAUGUGGUGAUAGUUUUACCAUGAUUAUCGAUAUUUUCUAGUUGUGACUUGACUAAAAUUAAUAGUUCAUCAUAGUUUUUGUUGGUUUUAAUCAUCUGGUUUUGCAUUCUCGUUGAAAUAUUAGACCAUGGCUCAUAUGCUGAAAUGGAAUGAAACAUUAGUUUUUGUUAUAAAAAAAGGCAUAGGGUACUGCCAAUUAUUUAAGUGGGUGGUGACCAAUGAUAUUUAGAUUGGAAUCAGAUUUUUACCAUGGAUGUUGCGUGAAAAUUAGGCUUUAACUGCUUUUACUACUAAAUUUUGUCGGUAGGAGCAUGCUUAGGUCGUCAACACCCGGGUAGGCGAACCUUUAGGAGUGUUUUGAAUUUAUUAUCGUGAUUAUGUACACGUUCACAUGAAAUGAUUACGGUUUCUAAAAUGAAUAUUCGUAGCUUGAUCUAGGCGCGAUUAAAUAAUUAUCAUGGCUACGGGUAUGGUUCCCGUGACGUAGUUGUGAUUUGUAAUUACUAAAAUACGGAUGUACAUUUUAUGUGACCUGAUUCUAAUUUCCAACAAGGUUAAAUAUAACAUGUCAUGAACCACAUGUGCAUUUCAUGUAGCGUGGCUUACGAUGUGUUUUAAAUGACCUUGAAUUUUCCUAAAAGACAUUAAAAGCGGCUAGAAAGUUAAAAAUGCACGUAGGUUUAAAAUGUGUAAUUAAUCAGAUAAUUAGGCCAAUAAUAAUAGUUGAGCGACCGUGCUAGAACCACGGAACUUAGGAAUGCCUAACACCUUCUCCUGGGUUAACAAAAUUCAUUACCCAGAUUUCUGUGUUCGCGGACCAUAAAUAAGAGUCAACUUUCCUCGAUUCGGGAUUUAAACCGGUGACUUGGGACACCAUAAAUUAUCCCAAGUGGCGACUCUAAAUUUUGAAUUAAAUAAUCCCGUUUCGAUUGUCACUUUAAUUUGAAAAACUCCCUUAUACCCCCUUCGGGGGUAGUGAAAAGGAGGUGUGAUAGCUCUGGCAACUCUGUUGGGGAACAAGAACCCAGAAUCUCUAGUUCAGGGUUCAGAAUUCGAGCUUGGAAUAUCUAUUAUAGUUGGCUUUAUUUAUUAUCUGAUUUUUACAUGUUUGAGACUAAUGUGCUAAAUGUCACUUUUUACCACUUUGAUAUUGUUUGAACUGUAUAUAAAAUGUUACGAAACCCUCCUCUCUCUGAGUCUUCUAAAUCAUCUGGAAAGUGUGCACUUCGUGUGACUUCUUUUCUGUUAGAGUCAUAUCCUAAUUUUAGAACGAGGUUCGGACAAGUUGCAAAGCCGACGAAGCUUCUGUAUUCCCGGUACACUGCCCCCCCCCCUCGGCUCGAGCUGUCCGCUCGGGUAAGCCAGGUCUAGAACAAAUACACCUAGAUUUUAAACCUAGAAUAACUCAGCCUCAUGCUGGAUCCCUAGUAGGAACGUUUGUUUGCAUCAUGUGCAUUUGAGUUUGGGGACUCAACACAGGGGUCGGGUCCGUCUAGGACAGGUGUACCCAAAAUAACAGACCAUCUUGAUACAUCAUGUGUGCUAUAUGUUGCCUUUCUUCAAGGGUAAAAGGGUCAUUUGGCAGACCAAUGAUAGUUGAGGGCAAAUGAAAAAAGAAACAAAAUGAGAAAGAAAAGAGGGUGAAGUGUGAUAAUAAAGAAAGUAGGGCCCAGUUAUGUUUUUCUUUCAUAUUUUUGUUAAGAAAAAGACAAAAAAAAAUAAGAAAAUCCAAAAAGAGUUUACAUGUUUCAUCAUUUUUCAAAAAGACAAAAAAUAUAUUUUCUUUAAAUUAUGUGUUAAUUUUUAACUCUCGCCCGUAUCCAAUCUAUCCGAACUACGCAUACCUGAUUCUCGUCUUUCGGGGCGUGAUACGUAGGCAACCUACAUAGGGUCCGGUCUUCCUAGUGAAUCUUAGAUUCUUGGUUUUGCGGGGUCUUAACCCAAUUUUUGCAAUUCUAGCCACCUUUUGGCCACAUAAGCCAUUUUGCAAAGAUAGUCUCAAUCAUAUCUUGCAUGUGUCCAGUAGGGAGUGUUAUUGUUUCACAUAGCGUUCUAGGUCUUUAACUUUAUUUUGCCUUAAUUUUCUCAUACAGGUGUGGAUUUACUUACCAGAGUUUGAGCAUGAUAGACGUCGUAGGAUCAUCCAGUCAGGGUCGCUCAUUCAGGAGUUGCCUAAGGAGAUUUUUUUAUUUAUUUAUUAUGUUUUGAGUCUGUUGUUCAUUUUAUGUCAU
RNAcentral lists this long non-coding RNA (2895 nucleotides) under Nicotiana tabacum (common tobacco). RNAcentral's name for it is "long non-coding RNA (NTAB_LNC018128)". The record is from RNAcentral. Lineage: Eukaryota; Viridiplantae; Streptophyta; Magnoliopsida; Solanales; Solanaceae.